This 379-nucleotide unclassified non-coding RNA is filed under the name uncultured Pseudomonadota bacterium. RNAcentral's name for it is "uncultured proteobacterium contains 16S-23S intergenic spacer region". The record is from RNAcentral. Lineage: Bacteria; Pseudomonadati; Pseudomonadota.
UCCGGCUUAACGCCGGCAGUCCUGUUAGAGUGCCCAACUAAAUGCUGGCAACUAACAGCGAGGGUUGCGCUCGUUGCGGGACUUAACCCAACAUUUCACAACACGAGCUGACGACAGCCAUGCAGCACCUGUCACUAGGCUCCCCGAAGGGCACCUCUCUAUCUCUAGAGAGUUCCUAGGAUGUCAAACCUGGGUGAGGUUCUGCGCGUUGCUUCGAAUUAAACCACAUGAUCCACCGCUUGUGCGGGCCCCCGUCAAUUCCUUUGAGUUUUAGCCUUGCGGCCGUAAUCCCCAGGCGGAGCACUUAACGCGUUAGCUACGAUACUGCGAGGGUCAAAACCCGCAACAUCUAGUGCUCAUCGUUUACGGCGUGGACUAC